GACUAGGUAAACAGUGGUAGUAGUCUUUAAUGAUUUACUAGACUAGGUAAACAGUGGUAGUAGUAUUUAAUGAUUUACUAGACUAGGUAAACAGUGGUAGUAGUCUUUAAUGAUUUACUAGACUAGGUAAACAGUGGUAGUAGUAUUUAAUGAUUUACUAGACUAGGUAAACAGUGGUAGUAGUCUUUAAUGAUUUACUAGACUAGGUAAACAGUGGUAGUAGUCUUUAAUGAUGUAAUGAUUUACUAGACUAGGUAAACAGUGGUAGUAGUCUUUAAUGAUUUACUAGACUAG
Long non-coding RNA from Oncorhynchus keta (chum salmon), 294 nucleotides. RefSeq lists it as uncharacterized. The transcript is spliced from 3 exons. NCBI's taxonomy places the organism in Eukaryota, Metazoa, Chordata, Actinopteri, Salmoniformes, Salmonidae. The record is from RefSeq and is a predicted model, not a curated record.